UCUACGGGAGGCUGCAGUGGGGAAUAUUGCACAAUGGGGGAAACCCUGAUGCAGCGACGCCGCGUGAGCGAUGCAGUAUUUCGGUAUGUAAAGCUCUAUCAGCAGGGAAGAAAAUGACGGUACCUGACUACGACGCCCCGGCUACCUCCGUCCCAGCAGCCGCGGUACUACGUAGGGGGAAAGCGUUAUCCGGAUUUACUGGGGGUAAAGGGAGCGUAGACGGUCCUGCAAGACAGAUGUGAAAGCCCGGGGCUCAACCCCGGGAGUGUAUUUGGAACUGUAAGGCUAGAGUGUCGGAGAGGCAGGCGGAAUUCCUAGUGUAGCGGUGAAAUGCGUAGAUAUUAGGAGGAACACCAGUGGCGAAGGCGGCCUGCUGGACGAUGACUGACGUUGAGGCUCGAAAGCGUGGGGAGCAAACAGGAUUAGAUACCCGUGUAGUC
RNAcentral lists this ribosomal RNA (440 nucleotides) under uncultured bacterium. RNAcentral's name for it is "partial 16S ribosomal RNA". It matches the Rfam family "Bacterial small subunit ribosomal RNA", at positions 338 to 795 of the family's 1533-position model. The record is from RNAcentral.